UCUUCCACUCCGUGCUCCGUGCUCGCGUAGUUUCUAAUGAUUCUUCUGUGUAGCUCUUAAUGUUCUUCCACUCUGUGCUCUGCACUUGUAUAGUCUCUAAUGAUUCUUCUGUGUAGCUCCUUAUAUUCCCCUGCUCUGUGUUCUGUGCUUGUGUAGUCUCUAAUGAUUCUUCUGUGUAGCCUUCAAUGAUUCCCCUGCCUCACAUUCCACACUCACAUAACUUCUAACAAUUCUUAUGUAUAUCUCUUAAUGUUCUUCCACUCCGCACUCCACUGUGGAGUGGCUUCUGAUAUUCUUCCACUCUGAACUUUCCUCUAUAAGAACCCUCUUUGUAUGACCUUUUCUUCUGAUUUCUUUUCUCUUUCUUUUCUUAAUCAAUUUGUAAUCUGUAAUUAGGAUAGUACCAAAUUGUUAAUUGAAGUACGCCCGUUACAUUA
Molecule: small RNA, 437 nt
Filed under: Histoplasma ohiense
Lineage: Eukaryota; Fungi; Ascomycota; Eurotiomycetes; Onygenales; Ajellomycetaceae
Description: hypothetical lncRNA
Source: RNAcentral